GCAGCUGCCACCCAGUGAGGCCAACGGUGCCCUGAAAUUACAAUAAGCUAUUCACAGCCUCUUAUAACGCUUUAAAUUUUAAAUGUAUACACGCGCUGCGUCUGGGGGAGAAAAACAAAAUAAGCAAAAGCGAUUUCCUGACACCCUCAGAAAAGGCGAACAAGAGGGCAGUCCUGACAGAUUGUGUCCAGAAAAAAUGCGUAUGAAAAAUGCAGUUGUAAAAAAAAUACAUUUACAUUCAGUCGUGUGUAACAGCAGCUGAGUGUGAGUGGUCAGGAUUCCGAGAUACGGUUACUGGGAGCGGAGGACCGAAAAUAGGACAACGCGAAUGACUGUCUCCGUGCACUUAAUCUUGGCAACCGAUUGCAUGCUAUAAUUCCAUUAGAGAAAUCAAAAUGAAACAAUUGAGUCAGAAGAUAUUCAAAAUAAUUAGACAUGCGGGUAGGCUAAAUGGCUUUUGUAAAUUGCCCUGCGAUGGACUGGCAUCCCAUUCAGGGUGUACCCCAGCCUUGUGCCUUAUGUCGCCUGGAAUAGGCUUCAUGCCCCCCCGCCACAACCAUAUCCACGCCACUCAUGACCGUCUUUCAUCACGUUCUGGCAUGACUCUCCGUGGAAGAGUGACAAGAAUAGCAAGGGAAAGGAGGCAAUCACAUGAACCCUGAUUCAGUUUCUUCUGCUAAGGCAGCAUCUCCUCUUUUUCAGAAUCACCACGGCAACUCACAAUCUCCUCACCUGCCACCAUCAAAGGUCUGGACCACUGCUGUCCACAAGCCACAUCAUAAACCAAUCAGGGUUAAGACUCCGUGUUAUAGCUAAUGAGCAAUCAGCACCCCCACCCCCAGUCUCUCUUGCACCACCCACUGUUUUACCCCCACCACCCAACCCCCCUGCUCAUCUGAUUGCAAUCAGCAGCAGGUCCUCUGAAUUCUGCCUGCACUGUUUCCCAGACCCCCUCAAAGUCCUUUAAUUGCUAACAAGCGGCAGCAGAGGGUGACAGGGUGUCGAACCUGUGACAGAUCCGAUGCAGCGUGACUCAUAUGCUCAGAGGGAAGGGUUGUAGCCUGCAUAACCGGGGACGUGUUGGAUUUCCCAGGCAAAAAACCUGAAAUCUAAAUCCAAGUAGGGGCAGGAACGGCUCAAGGAACUCUAGCGCGGAAUGAAAUUCUAAGCCGCUAUAAUUCUACGAAUACAAAUUCCAUACUCUCAGAAAUCAUCCAUCUCCCCCUUGAAUCAUGAAAGAUAGGCCAUUAGUGCAUAAGAGCAUAGUUUAUUCUGGGCAGUCCUCUUGAGCGGAAUCACCUCCUGACAAAUCUACAGUGUUCACAGCAUCGUCCUUUGCAUGUCAAAUGUGAAACACACCAUAGCACGCAGAAAAUGGUGGCGGGCCUCGGCCGGCGGGGCCCUGGACCCAGGAAUCACGGCUGUGGUUUUUGGAAGACGAAAAACUCCGAGCGCUGCAUUAGAGCGCUUUAUUUCAGGGCUGGAAUAAAGCCCCAAGCCACUGUCAUCUACUAACGGGAGCUGUACAGGGUAUGUGCGAAAUCAGCUAGUACUCCAGUUCCUUAAUCUGUUGUUCUCGAUGUCCUAUUUCUUUUUAUUUGACAUACAAACAAAAAAAAGACAAACAUCUCACAAAAAAAUGCGUGAGAGGUAAAAAGGAAAGAAAUGCUUAUCGUCUUUGGGGGCCGAUCUAAUAAUAGAAUUUCAUGACUCUGUUGGUUUAACAAAGCAUAGCUGAGGGCUAUGAAUUGUGCGACGGUUCAAUGUUUGUCAAAUGCACUGCAUUGCGUUCCCAUUUGCAAAUAACCUGUAUCUAUCUCUGUAUCUUUGUGCAUUCAAUUCCAGUGCAUCUGGCCGUGCCUGAUUUGUAGCUGAGGCACACUUGCAUACGGAAGCACACACACUCCGCUCGACAUACAUUGCACCAGGAGCUCAAAGAGCAUCCUAACAAUCUCAGCCGUUGUUUCCGCACGCACUGGGAGAGGAGCCUGAAUGCAAUUAUGAGUUCCAAGAAUCCAAAGUUGUAUUUUUUCUUGGCUACCCAAACAGAGCAGAGAGAAAAAAAAAACACAAGCAGAUUAAAUAUUAACUUUGCCCUUUUUUCACGAGUGUGAAGUAUCGCACCACAGGUUGGUUUGAAUCACAGCCGCGUGAGGUGAAACAGAAGUGAGGAGGGGACAGGAGGGGGGUGACGGCAGAGAGGGAGGUCAUGCCACUUAGGCAGCUCCUCAGCAAUGACGCUGCUGCAGCUCCAGGGGGCGCUGGCGAAUCCAGUCUGGGUCACAACAGGGUUGUCCUGGAAGGAGUUGCUUAUGUCAUCUUGGUGUGACAGGACUGGAGUCCGGUCAUGAUAGUGUGAGGACAGGGGUGUAAUGGGGGCGAAUUAUGACGAUUCCAAGGGCCCAACAUAAUUGGAUUGGUCUGGGUUUGGGGCCCAAUUAUGUGCUUUUAUGGGGCCCGGAAUCUCUAGCAGCACCCUGGGGUGAUGGGGUACACAUAAACACACCCAGCAGGCACAGGUGGGGUUCGAAUGGGAUUGAUAAAGCUACACACAACUGACGUCAUGUAAAUAUCCUGCAGCGGCAGCUCAGUGAUCGGUGACGUCACAUGACGAACCCGGGUUCCACCGUGGACCCCUGCUUUCGGCUCUGUGUCCAUCUUGCAUUAUCUCCUCAUCUUUACACAGGUUUCCUCCCACAGUGCAGCUCCAUUGCUGUGUCUAAAUUAACCAAUAGUGUGUGAGUGUUUGUGUUUACUCUGCAAUGGACCUGACACAGGUACAGGCCGCUUCCCCGGGCAUCACGGGACGGCAUCCAGGUCCCCGAAGCCUGUCCUGGACAA
Long non-coding RNA from Paramormyrops kingsleyae, 2841 nucleotides. RefSeq lists it as uncharacterized. The record is from RefSeq and is a predicted model, not a curated record. Lineage: Eukaryota; Metazoa; Chordata; Actinopteri; Osteoglossiformes; Mormyridae.